GCAUUACUGAGGAGUCCCACAAUAGGACGAAACGGUCGUCCACUGC
RNAcentral lists this non-coding RNA (46 nucleotides) under Schistosoma mansoni. Lineage: Eukaryota; Metazoa; Platyhelminthes; Trematoda; Strigeidida; Schistosomatidae. The record is from RNAcentral.